RNAcentral lists this ribosomal RNA (253 nucleotides) under uncultured bacterium. RNAcentral describes it as "partial 16S ribosomal RNA". It matches the Rfam family "Bacterial small subunit ribosomal RNA", at positions 524 to 776 of the family's 1533-position model. The record is from RNAcentral.
UACAGAGGUCUCAAGCGUUGUCCGGAAUCACUGGGCGUAAAGGGUGCGUAGGCGGGUCUUUAAGUCAGGGGUGAAAUCCUGGAGCUCAACUCCAGAACUGCCUUUGAUACUGAAGAUCUUGAGUUCGGGAGAGGUGAGUGGAACUGCGAGUGUAGAGGUGAAAUUCGUAGAUAUUCGCAAGAACACCAGUGGCGAAGGCGGCUCACUGGCCCGAUACUGACGCUGAUGCACGAAAGCGUGGGGAGCAAACAGG